AUACGGAGGGUGCAAGCGUUACUCGGAAUCACUGGGCGUAAAGCGCGCGCAGGCGGCUUGAUAAGUUGGAUGUGAAAGCCUACGGCUCAACCGUAGAACUGCAUCCAAAACUGUCAAGCUAGAGUCUGGGAGGGGAAGAUGGAAUUAGUUGUGUAGGGGUAAAAUCCGUAGAGAUAACUAGGAAUACCAAAAGCGAAGGCGAUCUUCUGGAACGGUACUGACGCUGAGGCGCGAAAGCGUGGGGAGCAAACAGGAUUAGAAACCCUAGUAGUCC
This 274-nucleotide ribosomal RNA is filed under the name uncultured bacterium. RNAcentral's name for it is "partial 16S ribosomal RNA". It matches the Rfam family "Bacterial small subunit ribosomal RNA", at positions 523 to 796 of the family's 1533-position model. The record is from RNAcentral.